CCUACGGGAGGCAGCAGUGAGGAAUAUUGGUCAAUGGUCGGGAGACUGAACCAGCCAAGCCGCGUGAGGGAUGAAGGUACAGAGUAUCGUAAACCUCUUUUGUCAGGGAACAAAGGCGGGGACGCGUCCCCGGAUGAGUGUACCUGAAGAAAAAGCAUCGGCUAACUCCGUGCCAGUAGCCGCGGUAAUACGGAGGAUGCGAGCGUUAUCCGGAUUUAUUGGGUUUAAAGGGUGGGCAGGCGGUCUGUUAAGUAAGCGGGUAAAGCCCCGGGCUCCACCCCGGACCGGACUUUGAACCUGGCAGUCUCGAGUUGGAGAGAGGUAUGCGGAAUGCGCGGUGUAGCGGUGAAAUGCAUAGAUAUCGCGCAGAACUCCGAUUGCGAAGGCAGCAUGCCGGCUCCACACUGACGCUGAGGCACGAAAGCGUGGGUAUCGAACAGGAUUAGAUACCCGUGUAGUC
RNAcentral lists this ribosomal RNA (460 nucleotides) under uncultured bacterium. RNAcentral's name for it is "partial 16S ribosomal RNA". It matches the Rfam family "Bacterial small subunit ribosomal RNA", at positions 338 to 795 of the family's 1533-position model. The record is from RNAcentral.